Molecule: ribosomal RNA, 164 nt
Filed under: uncultured bacterium
Lineage: Bacteria
Description: partial 16S rRNA
Rfam family: Bacterial small subunit ribosomal RNA
Source: RNAcentral
UAGGGAAUCUUCCACAAUGGGCGAAAGCCUGAUGGAGCAACGCCGCGUGUGUGAUGAAGGGUUUCGGCUCGUAAAACACUGUUGUAAGAGAAGAAUGACAUUGAGAGUAACUGUUCAAUGUGUGACGGUAUCUUACCAGAAAGGAACGGCUGAAUACGUGCCAC